ACCAGGCCUUGACAUGCAGAGAACUUCCAGAGAUGGAUUGGUGCCUUCGGGAACUCUGACACAGGUGCUGCAUGGCUGUCGUCAGCUCGUGUCGUGAGAUGUUGGGUUAAGUCCCGUAACGAGCGCAACCCUUGUCCUUAGUUACCAGCACGUUAUGGUGGGCACUCUAAGGAGACUGCCGGUGACAAACCGGAGGAAGGUGGGGAUGACGUCAAGUCAUCAUCGGCCCUUACGGCCUGGGCUACACACGUGCUACAAUGGUCGGUACAAAGGGUUGCCAAGCCGCGAGGUGGAGCUAAUCCCAUAAAACCGAUCGUAGUCCGGAUCGCAGUCUGCAACUCGACUGCGUGAAGUCGGAAUCGCUAGUAAUCGUGAAUCAGAAUGUCACGGUGAAUACGUUCCCGGGCCUU
This 410-nucleotide ribosomal RNA is filed under the name uncultured Pseudomonas sp. Its description in RNAcentral is "bacterial SSU rRNA". It matches the Rfam family "Bacterial small subunit ribosomal RNA", at positions 973 to 1382 of the family's 1533-position model. The record is from RNAcentral. Lineage: Bacteria; Pseudomonadati; Pseudomonadota; Gammaproteobacteria; Pseudomonadales; Pseudomonadaceae.